AUUGAACGCUGGCGGCAGGCCUAACACAUGCAAGUCGAGCGGAUGAAGGGAUCUUGCUCCUGGAUUCAGCGGCGGACGGGUGAGUAAUGCCUAGGAAUCUGCCUGGUAGUGGGGGAUAACGUCCGGAAACGGGCGCUAAUACCGCAUACGUCCUGAGGGAGAAAGUGGGGGAUCUUCGGACCUCACGCUAUCAGAUGAGCCUAGGUCGGAUUAGCUAGUUGGUGGGGUAAAGGCCUACCAAGGCGACGAUCCGUAACUGGUCUGAGAGGAUGAUCAGUCACACUGGAACUGAGACACGGUCCAGACUCCUACGGGAGGCAGCAGUGGGGAAUAUUGGACAAUGGGCGAAAGCCUGAUCCAGCCAUGCCGCGUGUGUGAAGAAGGUCUUCGGAUUGUAAAGCACUUUAAGUUGGGAGGAAGGGCAGUAAGUUAAUACCUUGCUGUUUUGACGUUACCAACAGAAGAAGCACCGGCUAACUUCGUG
This 484-nucleotide ribosomal RNA is filed under the name uncultured bacterium. Its description in RNAcentral is "partial 16S ribosomal RNA". It matches the Rfam family "Bacterial small subunit ribosomal RNA", at positions 30 to 507 of the family's 1533-position model. The record is from RNAcentral.